CCCACUUAAUCCCCGUGUUCAUCGUUUGAUCGGGAAAUGAAAGAAAAGGGGAUACGAAUGGAUGAAGGCGACGAGAGGGAAAAUGAACACGAAGGCAGAUGAACAAAAAUGGCGAGAAGGAAAGCACGAGGUCGCAGCUCUGCAUCCGGUCCUUGCUAGUCGCAAACCACAGAGAAGACCGAAAGAGAAUGAAGCUCGCAGGCGGCGCUUCGUCGAUCGAUUCGCGAAGAGGGAGUAGUCUCCGGGUCGACGAGACUGAAGAGACGGAGGGCGUGAAGAAGCAGCGAAGUUUUGCUUGUCGCUUCCGGAUGCGAGGUGUGUGGUCCGGGCGUUGCAAGAAGCGGUAGUAGCGAAGACGAGGCCAUCUGAUCUCUGUGGUCGAUGGGAACAGCAGAGGAAGAAAACGAGGGGAAAGGGGGUCCGAUGGGAGUCCGGUCGGCAGCCAUUCGUCGCAGGUGAGGAUCUCGGGGGUGUUUGCUCGAAAAUCACGAUGUUUCCCCCCUUGUUUUGGCAGUUCCGAAUCAACCACAGGGAAGGAAAAGUAAACAAAACGUGUUGUUGUUAUUCCUGUUUGCUGGUAUACCCGAAGUCAAGAACAAGAGUAUUCUUGUCGAUGUAGGAUGAAAGGAAAUAUGGAGGUUUAUUAACAGGAAACGUAGAAGAGAAGGGUGUGAGGGGCUGUUCCUGUGACAGCUUCAAUUGAGAAAAGGAAACACGUUUUCUUUUGACUUUGAGUGUAGUAUUGUCCAUUGUGUGUAGAAUUGGAUGCUUUGUUAUGUGGAAGUAAACUUAUGGUUUUUGGCUGCAAUUUUUAUAUAAUUGGUUUGAUU
This is a long non-coding RNA of Lactuca sativa (garden lettuce), 830 nucleotides long. RefSeq lists it as uncharacterized. The record is from RefSeq and is a predicted model, not a curated record. Lineage: Eukaryota; Viridiplantae; Streptophyta; Magnoliopsida; Asterales; Asteraceae.